RNAcentral lists this ribosomal RNA (497 nucleotides) under uncultured bacterium. RNAcentral's name for it is "partial 16S ribosomal RNA". It matches the Rfam family "Bacterial small subunit ribosomal RNA", at positions 28 to 507 of the family's 1533-position model. The record is from RNAcentral.
GAUGAACGCUGGCGGCGUGCCUAAUACAUGCAAGUCGAGCGAACAGAUGAGGAGCUUGCUCCUCUGACGUUAGCGGCGGACGGGUGAGUAACACGUGGAUAACCUACCUAUAAGACUGGGAUAACUUCGGGAAACCGGAGCUAAUACCGGAUAAUAUAUUGAACCGCAUGGUUCAAUAGUGAAAGACGGUUUUGCUGUCACUUAUAGAUGGAUCCGCGCCGCAUUAGCUAGUUGGUAAGGUAACGGCUUACCAAGGCAACGAUGCGUAGCCGACCUGAGAGGGUGAUCGGCCACACUAGAGCUGAGACACCGUCCAGACUCCUACGGGAGGCAGCAGUAGGGAAUCGUCCGCAGUGGGCGAAAGCCUGACGGAGCAACGCCGCGUGAGUGAUGAAGGUCUUCGGAUCGUAAAACUCUGUUAUUAGGGAAGAACAAAUGUGUAAGUAACUAUGCACGUCUUGACGGUACCUAAUCAGAAAGCCACGGCUAACUACGUG